This 756-nucleotide ribosomal RNA is filed under the name uncultured bacterium. RNAcentral describes it as "bacterial SSU rRNA". It matches the Rfam family "Bacterial small subunit ribosomal RNA", at positions 8 to 796 of the family's 1533-position model. The record is from RNAcentral.
AGAGUUUGAUCCUGGCUCAGAAUCAACGCUGGCGGCGCGCUUAACACAUGCAAGUCGCACGAGAAAGUGGAGCAAUCCAUGAGUAAAGUGGCGUACGGGUGAGUAACACGUGGAUCAUCUACCUUUUAGUGGGGAAUACCCCUGGGAAACCGGGGACAAUACCGCAUAAGCUCGUGAGAGGAAAGCAGCAAUGCGCUGAAAGAGGAGUCCGCGGCUGAUUAGCUAGUUGGCGGGGUAACGGCCCACCAAGGCGACGAUCGGUAGCCGGCCUGAGAGGGCACACGGCCACACUGGCACUGAAACACGGGCCAGACUCCUACGGGAGGCAGCAGUGGGGAAUCUUGCACAAUGGAGGAAACUCUGAUGCAGCGACGCCGCGUGAGCGAUGAAGCCCUUCAGGGUGUAAAGCUCUUUCGACGGGAACGAUAAUGACGGUACCCGAAGAAGAAGCUGCGGCUAACUACGUGCCAGCAGCCGCGGUAAUACGUAGGCAGCAAGCGUUGUUCGGAAUUACUGGGCGUAAAGGGUGUGUAGGCGGUGCUCUAAGUCUGUUGUGAAAUCUCCCGGCUUAACUGGGAGGGUGCGGCGGAAACUGGAAUGCUAGAGUAUGGGAGAGGUAAGCGGAAUUCCUGGUGUAGCGGUGAAAUGCGUAGAUAUCAGGAGGAACACCUGUGGUGUAGACAGCUUACUGGACCAUGACUGACGCUGAGACACGAAAGCGUGGGUAGCAAACAGGAUUAGAUACCCUAGUAGUCC